Molecule: ribosomal RNA, 915 nt
Filed under: uncultured Bacteroidota bacterium
Lineage: Bacteria; Pseudomonadati; Bacteroidota
Description: bacterial SSU rRNA
Rfam family: Bacterial small subunit ribosomal RNA
Source: RNAcentral
UGGAUCCAGACUUUGAUUCUGGCUCAGGAUGAACGCUAGCGGCAGGCUUAACACAUGCAAGUCGAGGGGCAGCGGAGAGGAAGCUUGCUUUCUCUGCCGGCGACCGGCGCACGGGUGAGUAACACGUAUGCAACCUGCCCUUCUCAGGGGGACAACCCGCCGAAAGGCGGGCUAAUCCCGCGUAUAUGCUCCGGAGGCAUCUCUGGAGCAGGAAAACUUCGGUGGAGAAGGAUGGGCAUGCGGCGCAUCAGCUAGUUGGCGGGGUAACGGCCCACCAAGGCGACGAUGCGUAGGGGUUCUGAGAGGAAGGUCCCCCACACUGGUACUGAGACACGGACCAGACUCCUACGGGAGGCAGCAGUGAGGAAUAUUGGUCAAUGGUCGGGAGACUGAACCAGCCAAGCCGCGAAGGAAGACGGCGCUCAGCGUUGUAAACUUCUUUUGUCAGGGAACAAAAGGCGUCACGUGUGACGCUCUGAGUGUACCUGAAGAAAAAGCAUCGGCUAACUCCGUGCCAGCAGCCGCGGUAAUACGGAGGAUGCGAGCGUUAUCCGGAUUUAUUGGGUUUAAAGGGUGCGUAGGCGGCAUGUUAAGUCAGCGGUAAAAGCCCGGGGCUCAACCCCGGCGAGCCGUUGAAACUGGCGUGCUGGAGACGGCGAGAGGUAUGCGGAAUGCGCAGUGUAGCGGUGAAAUGCAUAGAUAUUGCGCAGAACUCCGAUUGCGAAGGCAGCAUACUGGCGCCGGACUGACGCUGAGGCACGAAAGCGUGGGGAUCAAACAGGCUUAGAUACCCUGGUAGUCCACGCAGUAAACGAUGAAUGCUGGCUGUGUGGCCCGACAGAGGGCUGCGUGGCAUAGCGAAAGCGUUAAGCAUUCCACCUGGGGAGUACGCCGGCAACGGUGCAACUCAAAUGA